Molecule: long non-coding RNA, 1390 nt
Organism: Adelges cooleyi (spruce gall adelgid)
Lineage: Eukaryota; Metazoa; Arthropoda; Insecta; Hemiptera; Adelgidae
Exons: 3
Source: RefSeq, a predicted model, not a curated record
UAUAGGUGUAAUAAUACUACGAUUUAAAGUUAAAUUAAUAUUAAUUGUAAUUCAAUAACUGUAAAAUAUAUUGUUAUAACAAUCGUGUCAGCUCGUCACACACACAACACUUGUAAAAAUGUCAUAUUAUUGUUCGUCCAGAGGAAAAGCAGAAGAAAAAGAAAAAGCAACCAGAAUGCAAGUUUUAAUGGAAGAAAUGAAUCAAUUAAUAGAUGUCAAUCGUCAAGAAACUGCUGAAUUCAGAGACGCGACGCGUGAAAAACAAACUAUAAUUACUGCACUCCGAGGUCAAAACUUGCUGCAAAGUUAAUGGCCUCGGAGCAGGUGUCAAGUCGGAGGCGGUAUCCACUAGUGGGAUGUCCUACAUAAUUCGAGGAACCCGAGCUGAAUCGGUGGUCCAUUUUCUAUGGUGAUAUUUGACGGCAUUUAACCGCAGGCUCUCCACAGAAAUGACGACUGUCUUAUACGAACUAAACCGGAAAGAGCGGGUCAACGCAAUAUGAUUGCAAGUAAUCAAAAGAGAGAAGAUGAACUGGAAAAAAACAAAAAUUUGCAGAACGUGGCGAUUAAUGUGAAAUUUGUUUCAGAGUUAGCCAGACACUAGUACUAAAUGCUUUUUUACUGUCCACAUUAUACUCACAUGCUCUUGCCAAUUGAAUUUACAUUAUUUACAUACAUAAGUUUCGCUACGUCAUCUUUACUCGUAUACAAUUGUUUUGCUCUCGUAGUUAUUUACAUUUAUAAGUAUAUAUAUAUACUAUACUUAUACAAUACUUGGCUGUUAGAAAUAAUUUUUUUGAAUUACAACUAUUUGUUACAUCCAAAUUAUCAGCUUGAAAGAAAUUAACUUACUGUCGUUUUCACGUCUUUGUGUAGAUUUUUAAAAGCGACUCGAGUCUAUUAUCGGGUUCUGUGGUGUCGAUAACCGUGUUUAGCAAGUAAAAUGUUUCCAUAUCUUCCUGGUUAUUUAUUUACAGUGAGUGUUAAAAUACAAAUUGAGUACCUACAUAUUAUAUAAACCUCUUGUUUCUGGAUGGACGACAAGCAUUUGGCCCAGUAACGAGGUUCAAAGAAAACGCUGUGACAACCGUUUGAAGAAAGAUCACUUUCUUAUGUUUGCGAAGGAGUGAAACAAAUUUUUGCUCAUUAAACAAAUUCUAUUCUUACCUCGCCGAUAAGAAUACUGUACUUCAACUACGGUGAUCCGAAUAACGGCAGCUCUUUCGUUUUAGAAACCUUAUCUGUUUGAAAGUAUAAUAUAAAUUUAUAUAUAUAUAUAUAUUUAAGUGUAUCAAAACAAAUUUGGUUUUAAUUGAUUUUUUGUUUACAAGUUCAAAACCAACGAAUUUGUAACUAUCAUGUGUUAUUCAUUUGGAUCUAAAUAUUUUUU